Molecule: long non-coding RNA, 2294 nt
Organism: Dromaius novaehollandiae (emu)
Lineage: Eukaryota; Metazoa; Chordata; Aves; Casuariiformes; Dromaiidae
Exons: 2
Source: RefSeq, a predicted model, not a curated record
UUCCUUGUGCCCUACCUCAAAAUUAAUAAGUCACUUUUUUCUGCUCAGUUCUGGAAAAGCAGGUUGUGGUCCCAGGCGGUCCCUUGGUGCGAUGGGUUGAGGCCUCUGUCCAAGAUGGGAAAUGCUGCUGGUGUCUCCUUCCCGCACGGCUCAUGCCCAAGCGAUGGACCUUCUCUUCUGCUGGUGCUGGCUCCCAGGUCCCAGCUUUCAUCAGCCCUUUGCAGGAACGAAAAGAAGAGGCUGAGGGAGGGAUUUAAGCUCCUUAAAAGGUGCUGAAGCAUGAAUUUUUCACCGAUUCCCUCUCCUUCCUUGUGCAAGGCUUGUUUCCUGGACCCUCUCUCCAACUGGAAUAAAGCCGGAUUAGCUCCGAUAUUGAUUCUAGACGAAGUCCCGGGAUCCUUCCUUCGUGUUGCUCCUCCUUUGCUCUGGACUAUUUUUGCACAGCCUCGAUGAAGAUUUAUUUUGAUGCGUCAGUACUUUUUGAAGGAUGUGGGUUGUCUGUGUUACAGGCGGUGAAGAUUAACAUAGCAAUUAGCAGCCACAUCAGUUAGAAGCACAUAGUGAUGUUAAUUAAAUGCUAAUUCCAAGUAAUUAAUUAGCAGGGCACUUGGGCAGUGGGCAGUGCUGAACCGCAGCCUCAUCCUCUGGGUGGGCAGAGCCCCUGGAAAAGGCAGACUCCAGAGCUUUUAGGUGAAUAUACAGGUUUUGCACAGGUGAUUUGUGUGCAAUUUGGGUAGUGUCAGAGGGCAAUCAGUUAUUCGGUGUUGAGAGCUGUUCCUUUUAGUAUAGAAGUGUUUGAAAUCAGCUGUUGCUGUUUCUGAUUCAUUCUUGCCUACAGGAAAAGAGGGGAAAAAAAGUUUCAAGGCAGUAAAAAAUUCCAUGAGGAAAAUUACCAUAUCUGGUAUGGUUGAUCUAAUUUCCUGCUAGAAAAAGGAUCAGAACAGAGAUAAAAUGCGCACCAAUAGGGUACAUGCGGUCUUGCCUCGGGGUAAUCUGCUCAGCUGUUUUAUCAUUCUGCAAUACAUUAGAGCGAGGUAAUGUUGUACAAAUGAGAUGAUUUCUUCAAGAAUGUAAGGGCCAUAAUUUAGAAGGCGAAAAACUGCAAAUAUGAGGAGCACGUAGUGCUAGUAAUAGUUACAGAUACGUUUCAGCUUGAAUGUUUUGCCUGUUUAUUGGGGAGAGUUAUAUUUCUCCAAAGAGCGUUUGAGAUGAGCUCGGUGGUUAAUUCUUCAGGAAUGUGACAAUUGCCCAGAGUGCCAAUGGUGUGUUAGAACAACUGCUGACGUCUUUUUAAUUUGUGCUCUUCCUUGCAAAGCUUUCUAAUAUGUAGCAGCUAAUAGUUAAAACUAUGGUAGGUUGAGUUUCUGCCCUAACAGACAAAUGCAAUUUACAUCAAGCAAAGACAAAUGACACACUUAAGGCAUUAAUAUGUAUGAAUCCCACCCACGUACACUGUAUCUUGCUGGGUCUACCUUUUAAAAUUAAAGCUGUAUUCAUGCUAUAAUACUAAGUUUCACUUUGUAUUUGAAAUCCUUCUUUUUAAAACUCAUCCAUCUUUACUGAAGCAAGUAGAGGUUUAUAAUGAGAAUUUUGGCAUAUGUUUUGAAAGAAUGUGAAAAGUUUCUACAGAAAUACUUGUUUACAAGUACAAUGGUAGUAAGUCUGUUAAAAUAUUAAUAAGGAUAAAACUGAGCCAAGUUUGAUUCAUAUACAAAAAUCUUAGUAUUUUUAUAUGUAUAAUAUGAGAUUUUCAUGUCUUGAUUAGGUAUGAUAAAAGAAUCUUGCUGAGGAAAAAUUCUUUCCCCAUAAAUGGCUGGUUACUGGUAUGGUUGUCUCUGACUUGUGGACUCAGAAUCCAUUCAGUUAGACCCAAAAUGUACUUUUCAGUUGAAUUUACUCAUAUACAUGUGUCAAUGUAUGACUUUGCCAGGCACUAUUUGAUCAGUCUAUGACCCAAUAAUGAAUUAUGUUUUGAAGUUUACUCUUGAAGUUUUCUUUUUGUGCCUGAAAAACAGGACUGUCUUUGAAUGCCAAUUACCUGAAAAAGAGCUAAUAAGUGAACCCUCCCAUUAUCAAUGCAACAUAUGGUCUACUGAAUCCCAAAGCUGGGGGAAGUCAUGCAUCAACUUCUACUCCCAGUUUUUAAAAUAUGCUCGAACCUUUAGUAGAGAUGUGAAGAAUAUGGAGAACUGAGACCGCAGGAUCCCACUGCAGCUUUAGCUGUCUUCUGAAAUUAGGCUCUGUUUUGUUUCUGCUCCUCUCCUGUCUCUUAAUAAAACAUUUUUUUUAGCUUU